RNAcentral lists this long non-coding RNA (554 nucleotides) under Brachypodium distachyon (stiff brome). RNAcentral's name for it is "long non-coding RNA (BDIS_LNC006025)". Lineage: Eukaryota; Viridiplantae; Streptophyta; Magnoliopsida; Poales; Poaceae. The record is from RNAcentral.
GGAUUGGGAGCCUCCAAUUGAGUUGUGGAGCUAGCCCCAGUCAAGUUUGUAAAGGUCCGGUCUUCGCCUUUAAGGAAGCCAUUAGUGGAGCUCACUCACCUUUGUGGUGCCGUGAGAGGAGAAUAGAGUGAGCCUUUGUGGCGUCUCUACCUUUGUGGUAGAGCAUUCCUCCAAACGGAGACGUACACCUCCCUCAAUCGGUGGAACUCCGGUGAAAUCUUCGUCUCUCGUGUGGUAUCCAUUAUUACCCUUUACAUUCUUGUUAUCUAGUUGCUUCGGCUAUUGCACUUCAUCUUAGGGUUGCAUUACCUUUAGAAAAUUUAGUAACCCUAGGUUAAGUGUUUGUAUCUUUCUAGAAAAGAAAAAGAAAAAUAUUAAAAUUUGUUAGUCGCCUAUUCACCCCCCCUCUAGCCGACCAUACCGAUCUUUCAUCUUCUUAGGAUACCUAAGGGGGUCAAGAAAAAAUUAGACUUCUUUCGGGCUCAUUUACUCUGGCAAGAAGAUAAAGGUAGAAAGAAAUAUCAUUUGGUAAAUUGGGAGGAGAUUUGCCAGCC